AUUGAACGCUGGCGGCAGGCCUAACACAUGCAAGUCGAACGGUAACAGGAAACAGCUUGCUGUUUCGCUGACGAGUGGCGGACGGGUGAGUAAUGUCUGGGAAACUGCCUGAUGGAGGGGGAUAACUACUGGAAACGGUAGCUAAUACCGCAUAACGUCGCAAGACCAAAGAGGGGGACCCUCGGGCCUCUUGCCAUCGGAUUGGCCCAGAUGGGAUUAGCUUGUUGGUGGGGUAACGGCUCACCAAGGCGACGAUCCCUAGCUGGUCUGAGAGGAUGACCAGCCACACUGGAACUGAGACACGGUCCAGACUCCUACGGGAGGCAGCAGUGGGGAAUAUUGCACAAUGGGCGCAAGCCUGAUGCAGCCAUGCCGCGUGUAUGAAGAAGGCCUUCGGGUUGUAAAGUACUUUCAGCGGGGAGGAAGGGAGUAAAGUUAAUACCUUUGCUCAUUGACGUUACCCGCAGAAGAAGCACCGGCUAACUCCGUG
This 490-nucleotide ribosomal RNA is filed under the name uncultured bacterium. RNAcentral's name for it is "partial 16S ribosomal RNA". It matches the Rfam family "Bacterial small subunit ribosomal RNA", at positions 30 to 507 of the family's 1533-position model. The record is from RNAcentral.